Schistosoma mansoni is the source of this 45-nucleotide non-coding RNA. NCBI's taxonomy places the organism in Eukaryota, Metazoa, Platyhelminthes, Trematoda, Strigeidida, Schistosomatidae. The record is from Rfam.
AUCCAACUGACGAGUCCCAAAUAGGACGAAACGUGCGUCUUGGAU